GAUGAAGAACGUAGUGAAAUGCGAUACGUAAUGUGAAUUGCAGAAUUCAGUGAAUCAUCGAAUCUUUGAACGCAUAUUGCGCUCUCUGGUAUCCCGGAGAGCAUGCUUGUUUGAGUAUCAGUAAACACCUCAACUUCCAUAUCUUUUUUGAAAUGGGAGUUGGACUUGAGUGAUCCCAACGCUUUUCCUCACCGAAAAGUGGCGGGUUACUUGAAAUGCAGGUGCAGCUGGACUUUUCUCUGAGCUAUAAGCAUAUCUAUUUAGUCUGCCUAAAAAACAGAUUAUUACCUUUGCUGCAGCUAACAUAAAGGAGAUUAGUUCUUGUGCUGACUGAUGCAGGAUUCACAAAGACAGGCUUCGGCCGACUUUGUAAACUCGAUCUCAAAUCAAGUAAGACUACCCGCUGAACUUAAGCAUAUCAAUAAGCGGAGGA
RNAcentral lists this unclassified non-coding RNA (433 nucleotides) under soil metagenome. Its description in RNAcentral is "partial contains 5.8S ribosomal RNA, internal transcribed spacer 2, and large subunit ribosomal RNA". The stretch from base 1 to 120 matches the Rfam family "5.8S ribosomal RNA", at positions 35 to 154 of the family's 154-position model. The record is from RNAcentral.